CCUUCACGAUCUUCCUACACGUGAGCGACAAACUGCUCUCUCUCUUUCUGUGUCUGUGUGUGUGUGUGUCGCCUUUAACACCCAAUAAUAAUCACUUUAGAAAUACGUCGCGACAUGCUAAUACGUCCCUGUACGACGUCAUUGUAACCGACGGACCGUAAUCAGGUGAAUUCGUUUUUUGUUUACCGACCGACGGUAGAAAACUACCACCGCCUGCGUCCCCCCCUCCCACGCCGGGUGGGAAACACGCACUUUCGAAUUCGCGCGAGAAGUUUGUUUUCGGUUUAUUUUGGAAUUUUGUGUGAUUGAUUAUUUUGAUUUUUCUUUUUAUGGAUAUGUUGUGACAUUUUGAUUGGAUUUAUAUUUGAAUUUUUGUUCGGCGCCUCAUUUAUGGACUGGUAUUUUUUGGGAAUAAGGAGGUGUCACAAAAAGCCACAACGCUGGAACAUUUAAAGCCUAUUGUGGCUUCGAUCACUACUCUCAUCGGGAAUUGUGAUAGUAUGGAAGCCACGUACUGCGUAGGGAGUGACAUUGACGUUUGUAGGAUGUUCGAUCAGUACUUGUACAAGAGAUCCGAGAACGUUGAUUUGGCCCUGAGUAUACCGCAGUCGAAUUUUCAAGCCAACGGAUACGAUAUGGGCGAUCAGACGUUUCAUACGCCGAAUUUCGGCGACGAGGAGUUCGAUAUACCGAAUAUAAAUCACCAACAACAACAGCAGCAGCAGCAGCAACAACAGCAACAACAGCAGCAGCAACAGCAUGCUCAACAGGCGCAUAAUGAUCAACAGCAACAGCAGCAGCAUUAUCAACCUCCUAUGCAGAGUAUGCAGCAAAUGAAUCAACAAAUGAACCAGCAACAGGACGCGAUGGGGAUGCACGACCCCACCGGGGGGUACCAGCAACCCUUGUACCUCUCAGGUCCGGAUCAUGGGAUGGUGGGGCAGCAGUACCACAGUCCCCAGCCCAACUAUUCAAUGUCUCCAAGCCAACAGCAACAACACAACAAUCAACUUCUUAUGAUCCAUCAGCAGCAGCAGCAACAGCAGCAACAACAACAACAGCAUCAGCAGAUGAUGAUGAGUCAUGGGCAACCACCUCCCGGUAGUAUAGGGUACGGGGCGUCUCCACAACAUCCCCAAGGAAGAGGAAAUAGUCCCCCUGCACCUGGACAGGAACAUACCACGAGCGAUGAUAGUGACGAUAGUACUCCGCAUCCUGCUAUGAUAACGGCCAUGAAGAGACCCAGCCCGGAACCCGCCGAUCCCGGUCUAACAAAAGCCCAAAAGAAACCGAAGGUGCAAAAGAAGAAAAAGAAGAGGGACCCCAACGAGCCACAAAAGCCCGUAUCUGCUUACGCCCUAUUCUUCCGCGAUACACAGGCGGCCAUCAAGGGCCAAAACCCUAACGCCAGUUUCGGGGAAGUAUCCAAGAUCGUCGCUUCUAUGUGGGACGCCUUAGAUUCAGAACAUAAAAAUGUGUACAAGAAAAAGACGGAAGCAGCUAAAAAAGAGUAUUUGAAAGCCCUGGCCGCCUACAGGGCGAGUUUGGUGUCCAAGGGGGCGGGGGAGGGCGAGGGCGGCCCCAUGUACGGCAACUACGGAAAUUACGCCGCUGGUCCCCCUGGAGGAUCUCCCUACGGCGGCUAUCAACCCCAAGGUACAAUACCGUCACCACCGAUAUCCUCAGGUGCGCCCACCCCCUCGCCAUCCCAGUCGCCGAUUAAUAAGAAACCGCCCCAGAUGAUGGGCGGCAUGGGCGGCGGUUCGCCCCAAUCCCACCCCGGCAUGAUGCCGUCGCCGAUGGGCGGUCACAUGUCCAUGCAGCAACACAUGCAACAACAACAGCAACAGCAUAGUAGUUAUAUGCAACAGGUUCCUCAACAACAACACAUACCACUAUCGCCGCAUCAGAAUCACCCCCAGCAAGUGCCCGUUUCCCCCCACAAUCCCCACAUGCAGCAGCCCCAGCAGCAGCAACAGCCCCAGCAACACAUGAGCCCUCCCCCCAUGGUAUCAAGUUCCCCCCCGGUGUCACAGGUUAUGUACGUCGGUAAGGAGGUGGUGCCCUGCUGGAGUCCCUCCAUCAGCCCCACCCUCCCAACCGCCCCAGCAGCAAACCAUGGCUCCUGGCGGUAUGAGGCCCCAGCAGAACUCCUGCAUACGUCACGGAUGUACUAAUCCGGCCAUUACGAAUCCGGAGUGGGAGGACGAGUACUGCAGUAACGAGUGCGUUGUUAGCCAUUGCCGAGACGUAUUCUCGAACUGGGUGGCGGGCAACAAGAGCCAACAACAAAACUUCUCGACGGUUAAAUAAACACCCCUAAUAACCGACAGCCUACAUAGGAGGAUGACGUAAAACUUUUCAAAAAUAAAAAAAAUAUUAAUAACGUUAUAAAAUUUCAUAGCAAUAUCCGAUUUAAAAAAAAAAAAAUUAGCGGUAGACGAGUUUGUACGGAAAAUGUUAUCGGUAAAGUUGGAUAAAUAUAGGAAGAAUGUAAUAGUGAGAGGCUAGAGUAAGUAAGACGUAUUCUUUGUAUAUAAACUGAUAAUCACUA
Anthonomus grandis grandis is the source of this 2554-nucleotide RNA transcript. It is a transcript of the gene named TOX high mobility group box family member 4-A-like, with no coding region annotated. The transcript is spliced from 13 exons. The record is from RefSeq and is a predicted model, not a curated record. Lineage: Eukaryota; Metazoa; Arthropoda; Insecta; Coleoptera; Curculionidae.